GUCCACGCCGUAAACGAUGAUAACUAGCUGUCCGGGUACUUGGUACUUGGGUGGCGCAGCUAACGCAUUAAGUUAUCCGCCUGGGGAGUACGGUCGCAAGAUUAAAACUCAAAGGAAUUGACGGGGGCCUGCACAAGCGGUGGAGCAUGUGGUUUAAUUCGAAGCAACGCGCAGAACCUUACCAGGUCUUGACAUGGGAAGUAUGGGUUCCGGAGACGGGACCCUUCAGUUCGGCUGGCUUCCACACAGGUGCUGCAUGGCUGUCGU
This 267-nucleotide ribosomal RNA is filed under the name uncultured bacterium. RNAcentral's name for it is "partial 16S ribosomal RNA". It matches the Rfam family "Bacterial small subunit ribosomal RNA", at positions 793 to 1055 of the family's 1533-position model. The record is from RNAcentral.